AUUGAACGCUAGCGGCAGGCCUAACACAUGCAAGUCGAGCGGUUGAAGGGAGCUUGCUCCCUGAUUCAGCGGCGGACGGGUGAGUAAUGCCUAGGAAUCUGCCUAUUAGUGGGGGACAACGUUUCGAAAGGAACGCUAAUACCGCAUACGUCCUACGGGAGAAAGCAGGGGACCUUCGGGCCUUGCGCUAAUAGAUGAGCCUAGGUCGGAUUAGCUUGUUGGUGAGGUAAUGGCUCACCAAGGCGACGAUCCGUAACUGGUCUGAGAGGAUGAUCAGUCACACUGGAACUGAGACACGGUCAAGACUCCUACGGGAGGCAGCAGUGGGGAAUAUUGGACAAUGGGCGAAAGCCUGAUCCAGCCAUGCCGCGUGUGUGAAGAAGGUCUUCGGAUUGUAAAGCACUUUAAGUUGGGAGGAAGGGUUGUAGAUUAAUACUCUGCAAUUUUGACGUUACCGACAGAAUAAGCACCGGCUAACUCUGUGCCAGCAGCCGCGGUAA
Molecule: ribosomal RNA, 500 nt
Filed under: uncultured bacterium
Lineage: Bacteria
Description: partial 16S ribosomal RNA
Rfam family: Bacterial small subunit ribosomal RNA
Source: RNAcentral